GAGAGAAAUAACCGGCACCUUGAGGAUUCAAAAAAAAAAAAAUUCAGAUCUUAAACUAUUCUUUUUAAGACUCUUUAGGACUAGGUUGUAGCGUUAGGUUUUCGUUCUUUUGUUUCAGUUCAUGGUUUAAUGGACUUUUGUACUUUAUGUGCUUGAUUUUAUUGUAAAAGGGAGUUCCUAGUUCUAUUCAGAUUAUUGUUACACUACAAGAAUUUUAUUGUAUUAUUAUUGUUACACUACAUGAACUUCAUUAUAAAAGGGAGCUGCCCGUUCUAUGCACUGUUUUCAGUCA
Long non-coding RNA from Quercus robur (English oak), 292 nucleotides. RefSeq lists it as uncharacterized. Lineage: Eukaryota; Viridiplantae; Streptophyta; Magnoliopsida; Fagales; Fagaceae. The record is from RefSeq and is a predicted model, not a curated record. The transcript is spliced from 2 exons.